AGAGCGAACGCUGGCGGCGUGCUUAACACAUGCAAGUCGAGUGUGCGGUCGUAGCAAUACGGCUGGCGCACGGCGCACGGGUGAGUAACACGUGGGUAACCUGCCCUCCAAAGGGGGAUAACCCCGGCGAAGGCGGGGCUAAUACCGCAUGACAUUCCGGUGGCUUCGGCCGCUGGAAUCAAAGGCAGAAAAUGUCGUUGGAGGAGGGGCCCGCGCCCGAUUAGCUAGUUGGCGAGGUAAUGGCUCACCAAGGCUUUGAUCGGUAGCCGGUCUGAGAGGAUGGCCGGCCACACUGGAACCUGAGACACGGUCCAGACUCCACGGAGGCAGCAGUGGGAAUCUUGCGCAAUGGGCGAAAGCCUGACGCAGCGACGCCGCGUGGGGGAUGAAGCUUCUCGGAGUGUAAACCCCUUUCGACCCCGGACGAAACACCCGCAAGGGUUUGACGGUACGGGUAUAAGAAGCCCGGCCAACUACGUGCCAGCAGCCGC
Molecule: ribosomal RNA, 491 nt
Filed under: uncultured bacterium
Lineage: Bacteria
Description: SSU rRNA
Rfam family: Bacterial small subunit ribosomal RNA
Source: RNAcentral